Molecule: ribosomal RNA, 1062 nt
Filed under: Allobates fratisenescus
Lineage: Eukaryota; Metazoa; Chordata; Amphibia; Anura; Aromobatidae
Description: partial 16S ribosomal RNA
Rfam family: Bacterial large subunit ribosomal RNA
Source: RNAcentral
UGCUUUAGAAAAGGAUUUUAGUCCUGCUUAAAGCUAUUUUAUCUAAAAAAAUUUAAACUUUAAAGUUAUUCAAAUAAGGUUCAGCCUAUUUGAAAAAGGAUACAACCUCUACCACUGGGUUACCAAACCUCCAUAAAACAAAGUAGGCCUAAAAGCAGCCACCUUAAAUAAAAGCGUCAUAGCUUUCCCUUAUGGUCUUACAAUAUCUAAAACUUUUCUUAACCCCUCACCACUAAAAAGCAACUCUAUAUUUUUAUAGAAAAUUUUAUGUUAAAACUAGUAACAAGAAGUAGCCCUUCUCUUAAAUGUAUCCGUCAAUCAACACAAACCCCAUUGAUAAUUAACGUACCUAAAACUAAAGUAAAACCCCCUUCAAGAAAACCUUACUAUUAUUAACGUUAACCUAACACAAGAACAUUAAAAGAAAGAUUAAAAGAUAAGGAAGGAACUCGGCAAACAUUAGCCUCGCCUGUUUACCAAAAACAUCGCCUCUUGAUUAACCAUAAGAGGUCAAGCCUGCCCAGUGACAUUUGUUUAACGGCCGCGGUAUCCUAACCGUGCGAAGGUAGCGUAAUCACUUGUUCUUUAAAUGAGGACUAGUAUGAACGGCUUCACGAAAGCUAUACUGUCUCCCCUAUCCAAUCAGUUAAACUAAUCUCCCCGUGAAGAAGCGGGGAUACAACUAUAAGACGAGAAGACCCUAUGGAGCUUUAAAUAUUUUAAAACAUUUGAACCCAUAAAUUUUAAAUUUUUUUCCCGAAACCUCUAUUAAAUACAUCAUUCUGUUUAAAACUUUAGGUUGGGGUGACCACGGAGUAUAAACUAACCUCCACGUAGAAUGAAACUCUCUUUCUAAACAAAAAGCCACACCUUUAUGCAUCAACACAUUGACCUAAAUUGACCCAAUUUUUUGAUCAACGAACCAAGUUACCCUAGGGAUAACAGCGCAAUCCGCUUUAAGAGCCCCUAUCGACAAGCGGGAUUACGACCUCGAUGUUGGAUCAGGAUGUCCCAGUGGUGCAGCAGCUACUAAUGGUUCGUUUGUUCAACGAUUAAAAUCCU